This 513-nucleotide ribosomal RNA is filed under the name uncultured bacterium. RNAcentral describes it as "bacterial SSU rRNA". It matches the Rfam family "Bacterial small subunit ribosomal RNA", at positions 28 to 525 of the family's 1533-position model. The record is from RNAcentral.
GACGAACGCUGGUGGCGUGCCUAAUACAUGCAAGUCGAGCGGACCAAAGGGAGCUUGCUCCUGGAGGUUAGCGGCGAACGGGUGAGUAACACGUGGGCAACCUGCCUGUAAGACUGGGAUAACAUCGAGAAAUCGGUGCUAAUACCGGAUAAUAAAAAGAACUGCAUGGUUCUUUUUGAAAGAUGGUUUCGGCUAUCACUUACAGAUGGGCCCGCGGCGCAUUAGCUAGUUGGUGAGGUAACGGCUCACCAAGGCGACGAUGCGUAGCCGACCUGAGAGGGUGAUCGGCCACACUGGGACUGAGACACGGCCCAGACUCCUACGGGAGGCAGCAGUAGGGAAUCUUCCGCAAUGGACGAAAGUCUGACGGAGCAACGCCGCGUGAGUGAUGAAGGUUUUCGGAUCGUAAAACUCUGUUGUUAGGGAAGAACAAGUGCCGUUCGAAAGGGCGGCACCUUGACGGUACCUAACGAGAAAGCCACGGCUAACUACGUGCCAGCAGCCGCGGUAAAG